GAUCACUUUUCAUUCUAGACAGCAUUAUGUCCAAUAAACCAUUGAGUCACUUUGCAUAAUAUCAUCAGCCGGCUCAGUCCUUAAUAAAAUUGGGUGGGUUACCGUCCCUUUUCAUCAGGACAAAAAAAUUAAGGGCUGGCCUGGUUCAAUAUUCACCAAUACACCCAAUUCAUCGCAUUGCUGAUCCAAUUAGCCUGGUUGA
RNAcentral lists this long non-coding RNA (202 nucleotides) under Elaeis guineensis (African oil palm). RNAcentral's name for it is "long non-coding RNA (EGUI_LNC015088)". The record is from RNAcentral. Lineage: Eukaryota; Viridiplantae; Streptophyta; Magnoliopsida; Arecales; Arecaceae.